This 466-nucleotide long non-coding RNA is filed under the name Vigna radiata. Its description in RNAcentral is "long non-coding RNA (VRAD_LNC017479)". The record is from RNAcentral. Lineage: Eukaryota; Viridiplantae; Streptophyta; Magnoliopsida; Fabales; Fabaceae.
CUCCAAUUAAAAUCAGCUGAACAGAUUUACACGUGAUUGACACAAUCAAGGCAGCCAACAAGACAAGCAAAUAAAAAACAGGCUAUUUAGAAAGUAAGCACUCAAAAUGAUCCUAAGAAUGGUGCUAGAAUAGAUUUUAAAAACAACAAAAGAAAAACUUAAGUUGAACCAACAUAACAGAUUGAAUGUCUACACUGCUGAUAAUCAAAUAGAUUGAGAAUUUGACAAUCAUAAUGUGAACUGCACUUUUUCAAAUUGCUUCUUUCUUUCCUUUGUUGUUUUAGAAACCAGCGAUCAUGAUUAGUCAAGACUGUUUUAAUAUUGAAAGCUUUUGCUACAGUUCACAACAGCAUAAUGAACUACUACUUUUUCAACUGUUCAGCAGGUUAUUCAUGUGAAAAGCACAAUGGUUCAACUCAGAAAACACAAUCAAACAAAGGCUAGACUCCAAAGCACCAAGACACUC